RNAcentral lists this transfer RNA (77 nucleotides) under Candidatus Limadaptatus stercorigallinarum. RNAcentral's name for it is "tRNA-Val". It matches the Rfam family "tRNA". From Rfam's summary of the family: Transfer RNA (tRNA) molecules are approximately 80 nucleotides in length. Their secondary structure includes four short double-helical elements and three loops (D, anti-codon, and T loops). The record is from RNAcentral. RNAcentral also lists the same sequence under 1 other name. Lineage: Bacteria; Bacillati; Bacillota; Clostridia; Eubacteriales.
GGAAGCAUAGCUCAGUUGGUUAGAGCACUUGCCUUACAAGCAAGGGGUCACUGGUUCGAGUCCAGUUGUUUCCACCA